Molecule: long non-coding RNA, 3385 nt
Organism: Cylas formicarius (sweet potato weevil)
Lineage: Eukaryota; Metazoa; Arthropoda; Insecta; Coleoptera; Brentidae
Exons: 3
Source: RefSeq, a predicted model, not a curated record
UCUAUGACCAAAGAAUACUGUCUGUGACAAUUGUGACAUUGUUGGUUACAUUUUUGAUGGUUAUGAUUUUCUCCUUACUAUUUUCGCGUUUUUUUGAAAAAUUUGUUGUGUUUGUGGUCAAGACUCUAAGGAAAAUAAUGUGCCUAUAUACGGGCGAGUGUUGCCUGAUGUAUAAGUUAAUUUAAUAGGUUUCAAAGUGGUUUCGAUAGGACUCCCACUCACAAAUUUAUAUAAUUUGUGAUUUCAAUACUUGCUCCUUCACGACAUUACAAGUGUGGCAAAUAUGAGGAUCUAAUAGCAUCUCAGACAAACCCGAGUGAUUUAACAAACUGCAAGGUACACUUAAAUAGUUACAUAGGAAAGUUGUUUGGGUAAUAUGUUUAAGUGCACCAGAAUUACAGGGAAUGUAAGAAUACAAUUUAUCUGCAAGUUUUACUAGAACAAUCACAAGAAAUACUCCUUGAUAAUUACAAAUUCUUGUCAACCUCAAUGUGGGAGAGUUUUCGUUUGUCAUCAUCACGCUUAGUGAUGACUUGCCUUUCGGUUGGUCAAAAAUUACAGAAAGUGGGAAAUUACCAGAAUCAGUUCAGGUGCAACAGGAAGAACUUUAACGAUACAUCUGCAAGAUAUUUUUGGGAAGUCUGAAGGCAUUAAAGGAAAUCUUUGAGAAUUACCAGGAAUUCUAAGCAACUAUUCAAAAUUUUGGGGUACUUCAUUUGUAGGUCACCUACCUCCUUAGAGAGGACAACUUGAGUAGGAAUAAUAUUAUCUGCAAAACUGGGAACACCACAAAUGAUUGAAAAUCCCGAACGACGUUCGGUCCCGUUUCGGAAAGUCUCGCCAGUUGCAAGUGAGCCUUGGGAUAACACAGAUUUAUGGGCCUCUACCCCCCUAGCAUACUUUACAAAUAAGAUGGGGUCUAUAGCCACAUGCGAAUCACAUAAAAAGUACUUAUGGUAAUACAAAAAUACUUUAAAUCUACAACAUCGUGGACCUGGCUUCUGGACUCAACUCACGGCUCCAGACCGGCCCAGAAAUGUCCCUAGUGGCUCCAUCAAAUCUUUUGUUAUUGAAUUGGUAUAGCAGAAAAUAUUUGUACUGAUUGUUCUCUUUUAUGAUGUUAAACUAUAUAUGGUUGAAAUGAAACAAAAAUUUUAUGCAAGCAUUUUAUUAAUUAUUCCCAAAACAUAGUAUGUCCGCCAUAUUUUUGUUUCAUCCAAAUUUCCCUGUAUUUGACAUACAAUCCACAGAGCCUUGUCCAAGUAAAAUUGUAUAAUAAAUUUUCUUAUUUUUAGGACAAAGGUAACUUCUACCUUUAUACACCUUAUUAGGAGUUGCCAGCAAUUUUUUUAAUAAACGUCAAAUAUAUUUAUUUAAGACUUCAAAAAUUACCAAAAAAGGUCAUAUACCUGUUGCCACUGCCUAGAGGUACAUACUGAGUUGAAGGAAGUAAGGCACCUUCAGCAUUUCUAAUAUUACAUUAACAUAAUUGAAAUUUAUUAAUACUUAUACAGUUUCAGUGGUACAGUGUAAUGUACUGCACAUUUAUACAAAUAUUUUUAUUACUAAUAACUUCUUUACCUUGUCGCGAGUCUAUUGCAUAUAUUCUUUUGGUUAGUUUGGUAGUUGCAAUUCCUGUCUUGUAUUUGGUCCUUCAAGUGUUCAUGAUUAUGUUGUUCCUUCCUUAAGAUGAAUACACAGUUCUCUUCAACUUUUCUAGAUGCUUGAUAUUUUGUUUCUGUGCUUCUAAGAUAUCUUUUUGCAAUAACUCGAAUAUACAUAUAUUUAUUAACCCUUAAUCCGAUAAAUUGAAUAAUGUUAUAAAAUACGACGUUUCUGCACUAAACAUGAAAAUUGUCUUUUUUGUUAUCUACUAUAAAAUAUUAAAUCAAUUUUACCUCGUUCCGUUAGACCUUCUGCAUGAAUAAUACAUAAAUUUGUCGUGAAUAACUAUUUGUUAAGGGCUUAUGUUCCUGUUCUGCAUUACCCUAUGAAUUUACUACCCACAAUUAACUGAAUUUCUGUUUAAGAAAAGUAAUAAAAUGUUAACGUAGUAAGAUAAAUCAUUUUAAAUAAGUUUCAAACUUGAUAUCCCUAUAAAAAUCGCUGGUUCUAACCUAAACAUUCUGUCACUCGAUCACGUAUAUGUCACGACUCAGCUGGUGGCGGAUCUGCUGUUACAAACCACCCCCUGCCCGAACCCGAAAGCCGUCCGGAAUUUUCGAUCAUUCGAACAUUCGUUCAUUUGCUACCAUCUCGCAAAACUUGGGAGGAAGAGAUAUUGAUUAGUCCCCAACUAUUUUCCUAACCCUUGUUUAGCUCGAGAAUAAGUCCUUGACUCGUAUAUAUCACCUACCUCUCUUGUGUGAGUAACUAUUUAGUACAAGUUAUGGGACUAAUCCAUGUUCUCUAUCCCAUUUUUUUUGCAGACUUGCGCAUAUGUCUGUUUUUUAGUUUUGAUAUAAUAAUCUCUUAUUCAGGUACUGUCAUUCAAUUUACAUUUUAUUUGUUAGUUUACGAAAAGAUGAAAUUGUAACGAAACAAUGGAUAACAUUGCUUGUCAACGACCUUCCAGGGAGGCUAAUAGCUUUAAAAGAUCAUCCAUAUCUGGGGGUCAGAUCACUCCUUUAAGCUAUAGAAGAGGUGGUAAAGUCUUGAUAAAGUAGCCAGUGCAGGGUCUUUUAGGUAGAUAUUAUGAUUAUUUAAAGUGCCAAAUGGUACCUUUUUUUUCUAACCAGACUGAUAAAAUUUAUAAUAAUAAUAUAUAUAAUAUAAUAAUUCCACAUUCUUCAAAAAUAUUUUGUUGGUAAUAUGUUACGUUGCGGUUAUGUUGUGACUGAAUUUUUUCCUUCUUGAACAUAAGAGAAAUUUUUGUUGAUAGGGGGCGUUUUUAGGUUUUAUUUACAAGUCAAUAUAAUAAUUUCAUUCCUAGGUAGAACUAGAGCAGAAACCAGCAGAUCUUUAAUCUUCAGUGGUAGUCAAAACAACAUUAUAAGUUAUAGAGAAGCUUGGUACAGAAUAACCAGGGGUCAUCAGAUUUUAAAAAGAACUUAAGGCACAGUAACAUAUUGUCAACAAGUGCUUCUGAUUUAAAUUUUGUUUAGAAUUUACAGUUAAUGAAAUUUGUGCUGUAGUUAUUCUAAUAAUAAUUACUAAUAUUUUAUUGUAUUAUAAAUGAAAAUUUUUUUAGUGGUUUCAUAUUCUGUUUUGAAAUUUUUAAAGGUGGUGGUCCUCUCAAAUCAUGUAAUAUAAAAGUUCCUUGAAAAAUAAAAAAUAAAUAUUAUUAUGCUAUUACAAACAUGCAGCAUUUAUUUUUAUGUAAUUUCUUAAUGUAUUUAUGAACAACAAUAUAUUUUAUUCUUUUAAAUAAAGGUCUUAUUAAAUA